UUUCUUCUUUCCCCUCUUGCUUUCCAGCUUUCUUUUAAUCAACACGUAUUUUAAUAAUGAAAAAUAAUCACAUACUUUAAAAUAAUUACUUGAACCUAAACAAAAGGACAGACACCACUCCCUCACUUGGGCAGGAGUUUUAACCUCUGCCCACAGUCACCGUAAGCCGAGCUGUCUUGGGGGUGCUGCCAGUGACCAGCGGCCUGUGUGGGGAUCUGGCUGGAGGAGGGUUCACCAAGAAGGGAGAGCCAGAAGCCUCUUGACUCAACUCAAAAAGUCCAGGGUGACGCCGCGCCCACCAAAGUCGUGUGUGCCUGAGGCUCUGCGGAAUUGAGACUGGGCUGAACCACAGAACAAGAGCUCCAGCAGCUCUCGGGAAACCAGCGUCCAUCUGGAACCCAAACUAAAAAGCACAACUGGACCUCAGGCUGUGAAGAAGGACAAGGGCGCUCAGCACUGAAAUCUGACAUGAGAACAGGAACAAAGCCUGUGGAAACCCGCUUUCUCUCGAGCAAUGACAGCGCGGAUCCACAGGCUCACUCAUGCUCCCCAUCAACUAGCAAAGCUGUGGCACCACACGGGCUGCGGGCACCGGUCCUGCCCAUCACAGGACACCUGGCACCCUCGGGUGGAGGGGCUCAAGGACCACCGUGAGUCUGGGGUCUCCUCUGAGUGGGCAAGGAGCAUGGAGCAGGCCACGUAUGAGGGUGGAUGCGGCAUUCAAGGGGCAUGUGGUUAGGCCUCCUUUCUCCAGCACAGCUGUCUCCAGAACACCACGCCAGGACGGAGAAGUCCAGGGACGGCAGAACCCGUGUCCUUUGUGGACUGUGUGAUGAGGGAGCCGAAAGAGGCAGCUGAGGCCACCAGACUUGGGAGCCUGCUGGAGGGGCUGGGAUAGCAGGCCCUGGGCCCCUGAUGGAGGGGUGCUGGUGGCUGUGGCCAGGACCUAAGGAACAACCUGGGGUGGCAGCGGGCAGGGACAAGGCUGCUUCUAGGAGGGAGAAGCAGGGGCCCGGCCCACGCCUGCUGCUGCAGCGAAGCCUCCUGCAUGGGCUCACUCAUGCAGGACAGCAGGAGCAGAAGAAGCCCUCACCUGACCCCAUGCCCCUGUCCCCACCCCUCCCUUCCUAUCCCCACCCUCCCCAGGGCCAC
This 1152-nucleotide long non-coding RNA is filed under the name Homo sapiens (human). RNAcentral describes it as "HSALNT0338892". Lineage: Eukaryota; Metazoa; Chordata; Mammalia; Primates; Hominidae. The record is from RNAcentral.